GGAGAGAUGGCCGAGUCUGGUCGAAGGCGAUUGAUUCGAAAUCAAUUGUCCUGAGAAAUCGGGACCGGGGGUUCAAAUCCCUCUCUCUCCGCCA
RNAcentral lists this transfer RNA (94 nucleotides) under Deltaproteobacteria bacterium CG_4_10_14_0_8_um_filter_43_12. RNAcentral's name for it is "tRNA-Ser". It matches the Rfam family "tRNA". From Rfam's summary of the family: Transfer RNA (tRNA) molecules are approximately 80 nucleotides in length. Their secondary structure includes four short double-helical elements and three loops (D, anti-codon, and T loops). RNAcentral also lists the same sequence under 6 other names. Lineage: Bacteria; Deltaproteobacteria. The record is from RNAcentral.